Molecule: long non-coding RNA, 1353 nt
Filed under: Olea europaea subsp. europaea
Lineage: Eukaryota; Viridiplantae; Streptophyta; Magnoliopsida; Lamiales; Oleaceae
Source: RNAcentral
AUUUUCUUACAAGACUUUCUUUUCAUACUUGUCAUUUUUUCACAUGACUUUCUUCACAAGAAGGCAUGAGAUUUUCAUGAAGGAUGCGUGGUCGAUUGCCUAGGCAUACCGAGCCUUUCAAGGUCAAAUGAAUUAGUGUGACCAAGGGUGGAGUUGGGUGCACCCGAAAAAAAAAAGGAAAAAAUAAACUAAAUUUUACCUUAAAAUGAAAUUGGACUUGGGGGACAAACCUGAGCAUGACCCACGCAUAAAUCCUGCACUGGAGGUUGAUCGUAGGGACGAAAACGUUGUAGAUCAGCUAAAAGUCGCAUAGCCAACAUAGGGACCAAACAAAAAGGAGUAGCAGAUGAGUAUCUCAGCACUCUUUCUUCUUAAAAUAUAUUUUGUUCGAUUUGCUAUUUGAGAAGCAAAAAAUUUCCCAGCUCAUGACUUAUGAAUGCGGAAGUGACCUGGUAGACCUUUUGGAUAAAUACACAUCUUAGAUGAAGCUCCAAGGAAAAAUGAUGCCAUAGUGUGUAAAAUAUUCCCAUUAACAUUUGAGGAUAGAUCACAAAGAUGGUUAAAAUGUUAUCACAACGACCUAUCACAAGUUUGAAUGACCUGGCCAACAAUCGAAAAUCAAAAUAAUUUUUUUUGCAAUCAAUGUCACUUUGACUACAUUCUUUUCAAAGGAAUUUCUGUUUAUUUUAUACCCAAAAUCUGCAAAUAAUCAACAUAAUUCAUACAUUUUACCAUGCAUGUAAGUAACUUCGAAAUUUUGAUUUAAGUAGUUCAAGUUUUGCUUGAUUGUUCAUUAAUAGACUAUAAAUUCCAUAAUUAUUUAGUAAAUGAAAUCAGCAAUUAGCUAAUUUCACAAAUUUUGGAGCAUGUUUAGAUAUAUUUGAACCAUUGCCAAAUUUUUUAUUUAGCGUACUUGCAUAUAAUCUUCAUGAUUUUUUGGCUCUGUUUUGGAGAUUUGAUGAUAAUUUUAACAAUUAAAAUAUCGUGCGACAUUCUACUAAUUAAAAGAUCAAAAAUGUUAUCACAAAUUUGACCAUUACAUGUUAUGAUGAAAAAGUAAUCAUAAAAAUGAAUACAAGGAGUUCGUGAAAAUAAAAAUAAAAAUAUAAAUUAAGAUUCUACAUUAGAAAGUGACAUGUUGUGACAAUUUUAUGAAUUUGUCAUUUUUUUAAUGAGAUGUAUGUCACUUUUAUUUAUUUUUGUGAAGGAUGUUGAGAGAAAUUAAAUGUGGGAUAAGAAAGUUGAUGGAGCAGGUUUGAAAUUAAAGGUACAUGUAAUGUCUUAAAUAAUAUGUUCCCUAACAUCCUUUUUAGUAGAUAAAUUUGAUUUCUCUUAUUAUUUGUCCCGUUUUUG